Molecule: non-coding RNA, 4607 nt
Organism: Salmo salar (Atlantic salmon)
Lineage: Eukaryota; Metazoa; Chordata; Actinopteri; Salmoniformes; Salmonidae
Source: RefSeq, a predicted model, not a curated record
AUUCAUCUCCCAGUGUCUGGUGGAAAGCAGACUGAAACAGAUUUUCCUCCAGGAUUUUGCUUGUGCUUAGCUCCAUUCCGUUCAUUUUUUUUAUCCUGAAAAACUCCCCAGUCUUUAACGAUUACAAGCAUACCCAUAACAUGAUGCAGCCACCGCUAUGCUUGAAAAUAUGGAGAGUGGUACACAGUAAUGUAUUGGAUUUGCCCCAAACAUAACGCUUUGUAUUCAGGACAAAAAGUGAACUGCUUUGCCACAUGGUUUGUACUUUUAUUUUAGUGCUUUGUUACAAACAGGAUGCAUGUUUAGGAAUAUUUGUAUUCUGUACAGGCUUCCUUCUUUUCACUCUGUUAAUUAGGUUAGUAUUGUGGAGUAACUACAAUGUUGUUGAUCCAUCCUCAGUUUUCUCCUAUCACAGCCAUUAAACUUUGUAACUGUUUUAAAGUCACUAUUGACCUCAUGGUGAAAUCCCUGAGCGGUUUCCUUGCUCUCCGGCAACUGAGUUAGGAAGGACACCUGUAUCCUUGUAGUGACUGGGUGUAUUGAUACACCAUCCAAACUUUCAUUAUUAACUUCACCAUGCUCAAGGGAUAUUCAAUCUCUGCUUUUGAUUUUGUUUUUUACCCAUCUACCAAUAGGUGCCCUUCUUUGGGAGGCGUUUGAAAACCUUCCUGGUCUUUGUGGUUGAAUCUGUGUUUGAAAUUCACUGCUAGACAGAUAAUUAUAUGUGUGGGGUUCAGAGAUGAGGUAGUCAUUCUAAAAUCAUGUUAAACAGUAGUAUUGCACACAGAGUGAGUUCAUGCUUAUUAUGUGACUGGUUGAGCACAUUUUUAUUCCUGAACUUAUUUAGGCUUGCCAUAACAAAGGGGUUGAAUACAUAAUGACUCAAGACAUUUUAGCUUUUCAUUUGUAAAAAAUCGAAAAACAUAAUUUCACUUUGACAUGGGAUGUUGUGUGUAGGCCAAUCUGAAGUUAAGUCAAUACUUGCUUUGAACAAAUAUUACAAAUAAAUAUUUAAAAAAGGUAUUUUCCUACCCUUUAAUUCUGCAAUGUUGCCCUGAGUCAACAAAUUACAUUUUAGGCUGGGGGUACAAAAGAUUAUGAUUGGAUUAUCAUUUGUAAGCCCCAAACCUCAAAAAACAAGAGCUAAAAAAAUGUUUUGGAUGAAAAACAAAAAGGCCUGCAGUAUAUGGUACUGUAGUGUUUAUAGCUUAAUGUGAUUAUUUCAAUAAUGUCAGCAGUUUGUUAGGAAGUGUGCAAUUGCAUUUCUGUUAGUACAUAUAUACAUGGUACACUCUUAGGAAAAAAAGUUAUAUCUAGAAUCUAAAAGGGUUCUUUGGCUGUCCCCAUAGGAGAACACUUUGAAGAACCCUUUUUGGUUUCAGGUAGAACCAUUUCCUCAGAGGGUUCCAUGUAGAGCCCUUUCCACAGAGGUUUCUACCUGGAACCAAAAAGGGUUCUCCUAUGGAGACAGCCAAAGAACCCUUUUGGAACCCUUUUUUCUAAGCGUGUAUGUACUACCACCACUUAUAGGUAACUGCCAAAAUAAUGGAAACACUUGAGUAAAUGAGGAAUACAAAGUAUUUUGAAAGCAGGUGCUUUCACACAGGUGUGGUUCCUGAGUUAAUUAAGCAAUUAAUAUCCCAUCACGCUUAGGGUCAUGUAUUAAAAUACUGAGCAGGCCAUUAUUUUGGCUACCAUGGCUAUGCCCCCAUAGGAUGACAAUGGACAUUAGUAGUCACUGAAUGGUUUGAUGAGCAUGAAAAUUAUGUAAACCAUAUGCCAAGCUGUCUCAGUCACCAGAUCUCAACCCAAUUGAACACUUAUGGGAGAUUAUGAAGCGGCACAUGAGACAGCAUUUUACACCACCAUCAAUAAAACACCAAAUUAUAUUUAUUGUGGAAGAAUGGUGUUGCAUCCCUCCAAUAGAGUUCUAGACACUUAUAGAAUCUAUUCCAAGAUGCAUUUAAACUGUUCUGGCUCGUGGUGGCCCAAAGCCCUAUUAAGACACUUUAUGUUGGUUUUUCCUUUAUUUUGGCAGUUACCUGUACAUCAAUUUGAAUUUAUUCAUUUCUGAUUGUCUGCAGAAUGAGAAGUCCUCAACUUUCACCAGCUAUGUCUUAAUCUCAACAGCCUGGGUGAAUUACUUCAUAGCUUGGGAAUCAAAGGAAUUUCAAAAAUGAUUGUUCCGAGAGAACGGGUCUGGAUACCAGAUAUAGGUAUCCAAGAAGAAACAACGACGAGACAGCCUACAGGGAGGAGGUGAGAGCCCUGGUGGAGCGGUACAAGGAACAUUAAACUCUCCCUCAACAAAACGAAGGAGCUGAUCGUGGAGAUGGCCGAGAGAGAUCGCACCCAUCCACAUGGAUGGGGCCGCAGUAGGGCGGAUGAAAAGCUUCAAGUUCUUCAGCGUGGAUAUCACUGAGGACCUGAAAUGGUCCCUCCACACCGACACUGUGGUGAAGAAGGCGCAACAGUGCCUCUUCAACCUCAUGAGGCUGAAGAAAUUCAGCUUGUCCCCUAAGACCCUUAAGAACUUCUACAGAUGCACCAUUGAGAGCAUUCUGUCGGGCUGUAUCACUGCCUGGUAUGGCAACUUCACCACCCACAACCGCAGGGCUCUCCAGAGGGUGGUGUGGUCAGCCCAACACUUCACUGAGGGCACACUGCCUACCCUCCAGGACAUCUACAACACCUGGUGUCAUAGGAAGGUCAAGAGGAUAAUCAAGGACCUCAGCCACCCGAGCCACAACCUAGUCAUCCGCUACCAUCUAGCAGGCGGAGACAGUACAGGUGCAUCAAAGUUGGGACCGAGAGACUAAAAAACAACUUCUUUCUCCAGGCCAUCAGACUACUAAACAGUUAUCACUAGACGGCCUCCGCCCAGUACCUUGCCAUGCACCUAGCCGGCUACCACAGGGUACUCUACCCUGCACCUUAGAGACUGCUUCCCUAAGUACAUAGUCAUUGAACACUGGUCACUUAAAUUAUGUUUCAUAAUGUGUAUUGGUCAAAAAUUGUUUGUGGUUAGAAACAGAUAAGAUUAACAUUCCUGCAACAUUAUUUUGUUAACUUAAUUUCUCAGAUAAAAUUAACUCGCUUUAUAAGUACUGUAUUAUCAACAUAGCUCAUCCAUUCAACUACUGCUGUACAUACAUUUUCCCUACAUAUAUUGUUCAUACUGUCUACACACCAGGUCUUUAUAUUCCAGACUCUGACAUUGCCCUUUUCGAUAUUGCUCGAUCUGAUAUCUUAAUUUCUUGUUUCUUUUUGUGUAUUAGUUUUGUCCUGCUAGAUAUUUACUGCAUUGCUGGAGCUAGAAACACAAGCAUCUUGCAGCACUUGCUUUAACGUACUGUUCUGGAGACGCAGGUGCAGUUGGGAGUUUGAUAUAAACGAACAUGGCGUGAUACAAAACAAGCAAAGGGUCUGACAUGAAAACAGAAACAAUACUGCCUGGUAAGAAAAACUACAGAGUGACAGAUAUAGGGGAAGUAAUCAGGCUAGUGAUAAAGUCCAGGUGUGCCUAAUGAUGGGGCGCAGGUGUGCAUAAUAAUGGUUGUCAGGUGUGCAUAAUGAUGGGUUGCCAGGACCGGUGGUUAGUAAACUGGCAGCGUCGAGCGCCGGAGCGGGAGUAGACGUUACACGACCGCUAAUCUGUGUACGGGACAAAUACACUUUGGUUGGAUUAUAUGUAGUUGAUUGUCAACCAUAGAAACCAUGAUGAUAUACUGAUAAAAUGUAUCAUUCACCUAGCCUUUGUAGGGAACAAACAAUGAGCAUUGGAGCUGAAUACGAAAACCCUAUGUCUCUGUGUGUUUAAUGUGCUGUUUCAGGGGAACAAUACAAAGCUGCUUUUAUGAAAAAUCUGUUUGGUGUCCUUUGAAACCGGAUCUCAGUCUGGAACAGGAUGAACAACAUUUUUUGCCUUCGCACUGUCCCACUGAACUAUAUUUCUGAACUUGACUUGACCAAUUUCCCCAUUAGAUGUUUUAUAUAAUGUUGUAACUUUGUAAAUCUUUUAAUUUUGGGUCCUUCAAAGUAGCUGAAGAGGUCCAUCAGCCACUCCUUGGGCUACAAUACCUAUUUUGCCAAUUGGCCUGGACCCCUUUUACUGCCGAUAUGGAGUCCCGCCGAUCCCUCACGACUGGUCUACCGACAUAAUCCGCCCGAGGGGGUUUUCAACAAGCUCCUCCAUCGUGACGUCCCCUGAAUGCCCAUCUGCUAGCCGCGGCCCGCUAGCUGUUCAGAGCAUAUCGGACUGUUAGCUGAAGAGGUCCAUCAGCCAAUUUUCUUGGGCUACAAUACCUAUUUUGCCAAUUGGCCUGGACCCUUUUACUACACGGAGCCCUGCCGAUCCAUCACGACUGGUCUGCCGACGUAACCGCCCGAGGGGACUACAACUGACUCUUCCGUCGCGAUGUCCCCCUAAGGCCCUUCUGCUAGCCCCGGCUAGCUGUCUGAAUCGCCGUGUCUCCAGCCCGCCUAGCUACUCCCUAGACUCCAUGAUCACUCGGCUACGCAUACCUCUCCCUAAUGUCAAUAUGCCUUGUCCAUCACUGUUUUGGUUAGUGAUUAUUGUUUUGUUUCACUGUAGAGCCUCCAGCCCU